Molecule: ribosomal RNA, 253 nt
Filed under: uncultured bacterium
Lineage: Bacteria
Description: partial 16S ribosomal RNA
Rfam family: Bacterial small subunit ribosomal RNA
Source: RNAcentral
UACAGAGGUCUCAAGCGUUGUUCGGAUUCAUUGGGCGUAAAGGGUGCGUAGGUGGCAUGGUAAGUCGGAUGUGAAAUCCCGGGGCUCAACCCCGGAACUGCAUUCGAUACUGCUGCGCUAGAGUACUGGAGAGGAGAUUGGAAUUUACGGUGUAGCAGUGAACUGCGUAGAUAUCGUAAGGAAGACCAGUGGCGAAGGCGGAUCUCUGGACAGUUACUGACACUGAGGCACGAAGGCCAGGGGAGCAAACGGG